This 862-nucleotide ribosomal RNA is filed under the name uncultured bacterium. Its description in RNAcentral is "bacterial SSU rRNA". It matches the Rfam family "Bacterial small subunit ribosomal RNA", at positions 52 to 908 of the family's 1533-position model. The record is from RNAcentral.
UGCUUGCACCUGAUUGACGAUGGAUCACCAGUGAGUGGCGGACGGGUGAGUAACACGUAGGUAACCUGCCCCGGAGCGGGGGAUAACAUUUGGAAACAGAUGCUAAUACCGCAUAACAACAAAAGCCACAUGGCUUUUGUUUGAAAGAUGGCUUUGGCUAUCACUCUGGGAUGGACCUGCGGUGCAUUAGCUAGUUGGUAAGGUAACGGCUUACCAAGGCGAUGAUGCAUAGCCGAGUUGAGAGACUGAUCGGCCACAAUGGAACUGAGACACGGUCCAUACUCCUACGGGAGGCAGCAGUAGGGAAUCUUCCACAAUGGGCGCAAGCCUGAUGGAGCAACACCGCGUGAGUGAAGAAGGGUUUCGGCUCGUAAAGCUCUGUUGUUGGAGAAGAACGUGCGUGAGAGUAACUGUUCACGCAGUGACGGUAUCCAACCAGAAAGUCACGGCUAACUACGUGCCAGCAGCCGCGGUAAUACGUAGGUGGCAAGCGUUAUCCGGAUUUAUUGGGCGUAAAGCGAGCGCAGGCGGUUGCUUAGGUCUGAUGUGAAAGCCUUCGGCUUAACCGAAGAAGUGCAUCGGAAACCGGGCAACUUGAGUGCAGAAGAGGACAGUGGAACUCCAUGUGUAGCGGUGGAAUGCGUAGAUAUAUGGAAGAACACCAGUGGCGAAGGCGGCUGUCUGGUCUGCAACUAACGCUGAGGCUCGAAAGCAUGGGUAGCGAACAGGAUUAGAUACCCUGGUAGUCCAUGCCGUAAACGAUGAGUGCUAGGUGUUGGAGGGUUUCCGCCCUUCAGUGCCGGAGCUAACGCAUUAAGCACUCCGCCUGGGGAGUACGACCGCAAGGUUGAAACUCAAAGGA